GGAUGUGAGGGCCAUCUGACUGUCAUCCUGUUGAUCCCCAUGGUUGAUUCAGCUGAUAUAGCUGGCUAGGCAGGUGUCCUGUUUCUCUCUCACUGGUCCAUGUUUGUCCCUCCUUUAGCUUUGUGCUUGCAUGACUGAAGAUACUGACUUUCCCUGACAGAGGACAAGCCUUUACUCAUGGUAUAGAGCAGCUGUGCUUCUCUGCUAGAACCUCCAACUGAGUUCUCAAGAGAUAUCGAUUUCUAGGAAUGUUAUGGGAUUUACAGAAGUCUUUAAAAAUUCUAACACAUAAAAACCAAACUCUUAAAUUU
This 311-nucleotide small nuclear RNA is filed under the name Neotoma lepida (desert woodrat). RNAcentral's name for it is "7SK RNA". It matches the Rfam family "7SK RNA". From Rfam's summary of the family: 7SK was discovered as an abundant small nuclear RNA in the mid-70s but a possible function has only recently been suggested. Two independent studies have found that 7SK RNA binds the CDK9/cyclin T complex (known as elongation factor P-TEFb). P-TEFb activates transcription by phosphorylating the C-terminal domain of RNA polymerase II. The record is from Rfam by way of RNAcentral. Lineage: Eukaryota; Metazoa; Chordata; Mammalia; Rodentia; Cricetidae.